GAUGCAACCUCUAUUUCUCUCUGUUCUCUAGCUCAUUCCUUUCUAAGCACACCUGACACACAUAAGGUUUAAUAAUUUACAGGUAGAGGGCCUAGUUUGCCAGGCUAGGGACAUAUUCCAAUUUCUUUCCACAACUCUAAUGAGACAAAGCAGUCAGAAGCUUAUUGCAACCGCCACAUAAAAUCAGAUUUAUGGAUGCUUUUUGUCAGAGAGUGGUGUAAGGCAGUUUGAGUGUUCCGCUGAAUCUCUCCAUUCAUUCUCACCAUUCUCUACAACAAAGUUUCCCUGCCUGCUAAUGAAACAAGCACUGUUUCAUCUAGAAACUAAACUGGUAUCGUCAGAGAAGCUCAGUGUUGAACUGUCUCAGCUCUCAGCAAGGAGGCUUCUGUGUGUAUGGGCCACUCUGUGCAUCACUUCUUUCUCAGAGUCGCACAACAAAAGACCCCCAGGGCUUCAGAAGGUGGAUGUCGUUUGAAAAUUAGAUAUAGCUUUCUUCUAAUUGAACACCAUCCAGAAGAUUAAAGGGACUAUGUGAUUUGGAAACACCUGAAGAACUUGAUUUGGAGAUAUGAAUUUUACCAUUCACUACCAGGAGUGUUCACAUGAUAAUACUAUCUCCCUUCUGAACCCACAGCAAAAAGUCUUGAUAUUUCCCUGGAUAAUGACCACUAAAAGCAAAGCAAGACAAGGGAGAUAGCUCCACUGACUUGGAAUCUGAGGGGUUCAG
Molecule: long non-coding RNA, 727 nt
Filed under: Anas platyrhynchos platyrhynchos (common mallard)
Lineage: Eukaryota; Metazoa; Chordata; Aves; Anseriformes; Anatidae
Description: lncRNA (ENSAPLG00000017525.1)
Source: RNAcentral